This 22-nucleotide non-coding RNA is filed under the name Arabidopsis thaliana (thale cress). The record is from RNAcentral. Lineage: Eukaryota; Viridiplantae; Streptophyta; Magnoliopsida; Brassicales; Brassicaceae.
UCAAGAUUCAUGGUGAUUUUGC